Mustela erminea (ermine) is the source of this 2211-nucleotide long non-coding RNA. RefSeq lists it as uncharacterized. Lineage: Eukaryota; Metazoa; Chordata; Mammalia; Carnivora; Mustelidae. The transcript is spliced from 3 exons. The record is from RefSeq and is a predicted model, not a curated record.
CCGCACCCAAGACCCAGGUUUGCCAGAGAGAGCAACGCCUUUACAAACAAAAAUAUAUUCCCCCAAGAGCCAGUUAGUAAGGCUUUUUUUUUUUUUUUCCCUUUCUCAAAACAGGCCCCAGAAUCAAGCUGGAUGCACUGGGCCCGGAGAGGCCAUGCUUCUGGAGGCCCAGCUGUGGUUAAUUGUCCCCAGAUAAGCCGUCCGCCUCUUGAGAAGCUGCAGGAGCUGGAAGUGGCGGCUUCCGUCUUGCUAGAGCUAUGCUCAGGCCUGUGCAGACUAACCAAACUCGUGGCUUGCAUGCAAUUUGGGAGGUGGGAGAAGACAAAGGGCGAAGAGACGACACACGUGGGGAAAGAUGCCUGGAAAAAAUUGGUGAGAACAGUUGGCUUUCCUCUUCGGGCCAAUUACCUCAUUGUUACAAGAUGACUGCCACAGCUCCAGACAUCACAUCCUCACUUCUGGUGCCCAAAACAAGAAGGGAAGAUCUCUCCUUUAUUGUGGAGGAAUAUGUUUCCCAGAAACCCCCAGUAGGCCUUCUCUGAUGUCUCAUUUGGCGAGUAUUGAAUCCUAUACCCACUCUGGGGCUAUGCACAUUGUCACUCAAACAUAGGAAACAGGACUAGUCCUUAUGGGAAGAAACAACAACAUUUGCCACAAGAGAGCUUAUUUAGAUGGUAAAUCUAUUAGAUGGUAAAUGUCACCUUUGAGGAGGUGACAUUUUGAGCAAGGGCUCAAAGGGAAUGGCAACAAGCCAUGGAAAAACAAUGUGGAGCAAGAGUGUUCAAGCAGUGAGCACAGCAGGUGCAAAAGUCCUGGGGCAGACACAGAAGCCUGCCCCAGCUAGCUCAAGUGGAAAAGAAGGACAGGUUGUUGUGUGAUGGGAUACACUGUUCCCCUACGGAGGGCUCUACCACUCCUACCCUUGGACCUUUUAUGUCAGGAGGAGGCCAAGAAUGAGAAUAGGGGCCUGGGGGGAAUCCUCCGACUGGAGGAAGGAGCCGCAGUGAGAGAAGUCGAUGGGAGAAAGAGAGAGCAUGUUUUCCAGGGUUAUAGUGCACACAAUGUGUUUGCUUCGUGACAUUUAAGGAACUCAAGUCUUGGGAUGCCUUUUAUGGUUGCCGGACUGUGUUUCUUGUCUUCGGCCACUUUCGAAAGGCCACUCUCAGGUCACAUCACCAGAGGAGCUGAGAAUAUCUGCAGCCAGAAAGUUCCAGAGCAGUCAGGCCCCCUGGGGGUGACAAGGGGCCAGCAAACAAGGCAGCCCUGGGGGUGGCUGAGCCAGAUGGUAUCAGGGAGAGCCUCGGUGUGGGGACAGUGUUGAUACCAUGGGAUCAGCGAAAACUCCAUGUCAGGACUCACUCUCCCUUGACAGCAGGCAGGGGGCUCCCCUGGCGUGCCCAGCUGUGAGCACAGGCAGGUCAGGGUUAGGGGACCAGUCAUUGGCAGAGAAGGGGGUACAGGGGAGGUAGUCCGGGUACCUGCGCUCCCACAAGCCUGGCUGUCCCCAGGCCCUCACCUUCAAAGAAGAGAAAUCCAAGUGGGACACCAGAGGGACACUGCAUGUUGACAGCUGGAGGUGUCGCUCUUAGCAGAAAGGGCAGCUCACGUGACCUCACGUGACCCCAUGACCUUUACCCGGUUCGCACCUAAUUUCUCCCAAUCCGAUUCUAUUGUUUCGCUGAAUUUCUAUUUGUUAGAGAAACAGUCACAAACCAAAGGUGGCUGUCACUUUCGCUUGCAGGGUUCAUGGGGUCCCCGGGGUCUGGGCCAGCCAGGCUCCUCCUGCAGGGUCCAAGCACCCCCUCCACACAGACCUGGGUCAGGGACGCAGUGGCCCAUCCGGGCAGCGGGCCCUCACCUGGCGGCUUCCCUUCCCGCCUCUCGCCCUGCCCUCUUGUCAUCCGACCUCUGUGGAUGAAUUGAGCUCCCUCCAUGGGGCUGGGGGGUCGCCGGGCACUGCCAGCCUGUCCUCACCCACAUUGAUUUUCCCCCUCCUUCUCUUGGUCAUCUGCUCACCUGGGGCUCUGACCACCACCUCAGGCAAGCUGGCCAGGAUUGCCUGCUCCCUUGGCUUUGAGGGUCCUGGACCUCUGGCCUUGAACAACACCCUCAAACCAGUCCUGGCACCAACAUGUCCCCGUGGUGAACGUCAGCCCCAUUUAACAGAUGGGGGAACUGAGGUACAGUUGCUGGGAAGGGGCAGAGCUGAGA